RNAcentral lists this ribosomal RNA (602 nucleotides) under Coryphaena hippurus (common dolphinfish). RNAcentral describes it as "partial 16S ribosomal RNA". It matches the Rfam family "Archaeal large subunit ribosomal RNA", at positions 1932 to 2660 of the family's 2987-position model. The record is from RNAcentral. Lineage: Eukaryota; Metazoa; Chordata; Actinopteri; Carangiformes; Coryphaenidae.
CUUGUAAGAGGUCCCACCUGCCCGGUGACAUUUAACGGCCGCGGUAUCCUGACCGUGCGAAGGUAGCGUAAUCAUUUGUCUUUUAAAUGGGGACUUGUAUGAAUGGUAUAACGAGGGCUUAACUGUCUCCUCCCUCUUGUCAAUGAAAUUGAUCUCCCCGUGCAGAAGCGGGGAUACUCUCAUAAGACGAGAAGACCCUAUGGAGCUUUUCGGUUGGGGCGACAAUGGGGCCCCAAUUAAGAGCUCUAAAUUACAGUUUCUGACCUGAUCCGGGAUUAACGGACCAAGUUACCCUAGGGAUAACAGCGCAAUCCCCUUUUAGAGCCCACAUCAACAAGGGGGUUUACGACCUCGAUGUUGGAUCAGGACAUCCUAUUGGUGCAGCCGCUAUUAAGGGUGUUAGCCCUAAACAUUGACUGUAACAUCCGCCUGGGAACUACGAACAUUAGUUUAAAACCCAAAGGACUUGGCGGUGCUUAAUAUCCACCUAGAGGAGCCUGUCCUAUAACCGAUAAUCCCCGUUAAACCUCACCUUCUCUCGUCAGCCUAUAUACCGCCGUCGCCAGCUUACCCUUUGAAGGACUAACAGUAAGCACAAUUGG